RNAcentral lists this long non-coding RNA (1934 nucleotides) under Homo sapiens (human). Its description in RNAcentral is "lymphatic endothelial transcriptional regulator lncRNA 1". Lineage: Eukaryota; Metazoa; Chordata; Mammalia; Primates; Hominidae. The record is from RNAcentral.
CUCCCAAGUAGCUGGGAUUACAUGCAUGUGCCACCACGCACGGCUAGAGAACUAUUGAUGAGAUGAAGUGAUGCAUCUUCAAGUUAACUAGUACCUGUCUGUUCUUCUACAUUGUACAUUAGAUAACUCACCAACUCCUCAGAAGACUGAAGCCUCAGCAGGUGUUGGCACUGUCACAUAAGUCCCCAUGAGUCCCUACAGCCACAAUAAAUUGAAUUCUGCCAAAAAUCUUAAUAAGCUUGGAAGAAGACCUUCAGCUCCUGAUGAGAACCCAGCCAGAAACAAGAUGAGAACCCAGAAACAAGAUUUUCAUCUUAUUUCAACCUGAGCAGAGAACCCAGAGGAGCCCUGGCCAGAUUUUUGGUCUACAGGAUUGAGUCUCUGAAAAUGCAACGGAGAAUAAAAAUGUGGUCAGACCUGCCGCCAGCACCUAUGCCCUCCAGUCCUGAGCUGACAAAAAUGUCAAGAAACUGACAGUAAAAUAUGCGAAGAAAAAGCCCUGCAAACAAGAACAAACCCCAGACUAUUUGGCGCUUUCACCACACUGUGUCAUGGUUUUCAAACAGAAAUAGCAGUUGUGGGAUUUAUUAUCUCUAACAUCACUUGUUAAAUUUCACACUACGCAAAUGAUAUAAAGUAUACGAGUAAGGAAGCUACUGAAGAAGGAAUGAGGCAAUGCCGGAAAGGAAAUAGACAGAUGGACUCCACAGAGCGCUAAUGGAGGAAUCUUUGCCACGGUCAGUGGAAGGAUUAUCAUCCACCCCUGUGGAUUUCUAACAGGGCAAGAGUGCUGUUAAGGAAAGGAAAAGCAACCGGCGUUAUUGGGGAACUUGCCCCGAUAUUCACGCAGGUUCUUUUCUAUUUUCCUUAAGAGUCGGCCAGCUUGAGAAAUAAAGGGACAGAGUACAAAAGAGAGAAAUUUUAAAGCUGGGCGUCCGGAGGAGACAUCACAUGUCGGUAGGUUCUUCAGCCGGUCCCUCUGUUUGAGGUCCUUGACUUCUUGCAACACGGCAUGAAAACCACCAACUCUGCCUACGUGAGCCCAAUAUAUGGUUGAAAAGUUGAAAUGUACAUUUGUUUUAUUGAUCAACCUAGUGUUAGAUAACCUAGUUAAUUUCCUUGAGUACUUCUAGUAUUUAUUCAAUGGUUCUAAGUACAUGAUCUUCCCCAAAUGAGAACUUCUGAGCAAUCGUGGACAUUGACUGUCACUGUUUUCUGAACUCCUGAGAGAGGCUGGGUUUUUCAUGUAUCCAAUUUCAUCUACAUAACAAUUCUACAAGGUAAGUAUUUUUUUCCCCCAUUUGAGAGACUAAGGUGUAGGGCAAAGUAACUUUCCUCCAUGAAAGGAAACUGAGGCAGAGGGAAAAGUGACUUUCUCAAAAUCGCAGUUGUUAGUUAACAAAGCUGAUAUUCAAAUGUAUAAUUGUCUGAACCCAGGUGACCCUCUUAACACAAAACUCCCUCCCUGAAAGAAAGCAGUUGAUUUAGUUCUCUAAUAAAUAUAUUUAUAAGAUAUCAUUUUAAAUAGCAAAUGCAACUCGGGGCACAUUCUAAGCAAGAGCUGCAAAUAUCCUAUAUUUAUACAUUUGAAAUUGCAUCUUAACCCUUCUCCUUCUUUAACAACUGGAGACACUCAUAAAUGUGGCUUAUUUCUUUAUCCUUUGACAGAUUGAAAAAUCAAGGCACACAAGAAUGAAAUGUCCUGUUUUGGUUAAACUAAUAACUGCAGCCCUCUUGUAAAAAUAGGAAGAAGCAGCUGUGUAAAAUGACUCCAUCAAAGCAGAAUUGCGUUACUCCCUGAAGACAUCAGAUAACAGAUAUCGUAGAUAUGUUUAUAAUUGAUGGUUUUAAAGUGCAAUUGAGGUGCCCUACUUAGCUUGGGGUAUGCACAACUCAAUUGCACAUAAAAUUGGCAACUCAUGGCCUUAAAAAAA